This 390-nucleotide RNase P RNA is filed under the name Bacteroidia bacterium. Its description in RNAcentral is "RNase P RNA component class A". It matches the Rfam family "Bacterial RNase P class A". Rfam says of the family: Ribonuclease P (RNase P) is a ubiquitous endoribonuclease, found in archaea, bacteria and eukarya as well as chloroplasts and mitochondria. Its best characterised activity is the generation of mature 5'-ends of tRNAs by cleaving the 5'-leader elements of precursor-tRNAs. The record is from RNAcentral. Lineage: Bacteria; Pseudomonadati; Bacteroidota; Bacteroidia.
AAAGCAAACCGCUCUGCCGCUCUGCCACCGGGCAGGGAGGAAAGUCCGGGCAACACAGGGUACCGCACUUCCUAACGGGAAGGUUCAUCAGGAGAAAUCCUGCUGAAACAGACAGUGCAACAGAAACAUACCGUCCGACUUUGGCGGAUAAGGGUGAAAUCGUGAGGUAAGAGCUCACGGCUUGCCGUUGCGAAACGGCAGGCGGGCAAACCUUGCGGGUUGAAAGGCCAAAUAAGUUGCGGAUGGGCAGUGUCCCGCUGCCGUUGGUUCACUCCAUGCCGUAACGGGUAGGCUGAUACAGGUGAGGCGCGAGCCCCAUCGCAGAUUAAUGGCAGAGGCGGUACCGGCAACGGUUCCGUACAGAACCCGGCUUACAGGUUUGCUUUUUUU